Molecule: long non-coding RNA, 371 nt
Organism: Mesocricetus auratus (golden hamster)
Lineage: Eukaryota; Metazoa; Chordata; Mammalia; Rodentia; Cricetidae
Exons: 3
Source: RefSeq, a predicted model, not a curated record
AUGGCUAGCUUUAAUCUGAGUAUCCUUGGGACCCUUCAACCAGCGCAGCUGCUCCGGUGCCUAUCCCGGCCGCCAUUCCUGCCCCCAAUAGGAGGGCUAGGGUCUGCAUUCCUCCCGGGCAGAUACACCAUUUCCUAAAUCUACAUUCAGGAUUGCUUCCCAUGAUCCCUCGGCCACUCGGCAUAAAUCAAAGGGUGGCGGUACCAAGUGAGGACAGAAUUCAUCAAUUCUCUCACUGGACUCUCAGAUUCAGAAGUGUGCACUAGACCACAACAGAAAAACAGAAGAACAGACAGACAAGGGGUCGACUGAUCGUCUUACCUCCCGGCGUCUGGGUUAUUGAGAGGGGUCUUCAGAUCUCGGUGGGACCU